CUACGGGUGGCUCCAGUGGGGAAUAUUGGGCAAUGGGCGAAAGCCUGACCCAGCAACGCCGCGUGAUUGAAGAAGGCUUUCGGGUUGUAAAAAUCUGUCCUUGGGGACGAAGAAGUGACGGUACCCAAGGAGGAAGCCCCGGCUAACUACGUGCCAGCAGCCGCGGUAAUACGUAGGGGGCGAGCGUUGUCCGGAAUUACUGGGCGUAAAGGGUGCGCAGGCGGCGCUUUAAGUCAGAUGUGAAAUACCCAGGCUUAACCUGGGGGGUGCAUUUGAAACUGGAGCGCUUGAGUGCAGGAGAGGAAAGUGGAAUUCCUAGUGUAGCGGUGAAAUGCGUAGAUAUUAGGAGGAACACCAGUGGCGAAGGCGACUUUCUGGACUGUAACUGACGCUGAGGCACGAAAGCGUGGGGAGCAAACAGGAUUAGAUACCCCAGUAGUC
Molecule: ribosomal RNA, 441 nt
Filed under: uncultured bacterium
Lineage: Bacteria
Description: partial 16S ribosomal RNA
Rfam family: Bacterial small subunit ribosomal RNA
Source: RNAcentral